RNAcentral lists this transfer RNA (85 nucleotides) under Chloroflexota bacterium. Its description in RNAcentral is "Chloroflexi bacterium (soil metagenome) tRNA-Leu". It matches the Rfam family "tRNA". Rfam says of the family: Transfer RNA (tRNA) molecules are approximately 80 nucleotides in length. Their secondary structure includes four short double-helical elements and three loops (D, anti-codon, and T loops). Further hydrogen bonds mediate the characteristic L-shaped molecular structure. tRNAs have two regions of fundamental functional importance: the anti-codon, which is responsible for specific mRNA codon recognition, and the 3' end, to which the tRNAs corresponding amino acid is attached (by aminoacyl-tRNA synthetases). tRNAs cope with the degeneracy of the genetic code in two manners: having more than one tRNA (with a specific anti-codon) for a particular amino acid; and 'wobble' base-pairing, i.e. permitting non-standard base-pairing at the 3rd anti-codon position. Lineage: Bacteria; Bacillati; Chloroflexota. The record is from RNAcentral. RNAcentral also lists the same sequence under 7 other names.
GCCCAGGUGGCGGAAUUGGUAUACGCGUACGUUUGAGGGGCGUAUGACGCAAGUCAUCCGGGUUCAAGUCCCGGCCUGGGCACCA